UGCGUAGGUGGUUGUGUUAGUCGUUUGUUAAAUCCCAUGGCUCAACCGUGGAGAUGCGGGCGAAACGGCACAACUUGAGAGCGUGAGAGGUGAAUGGAACUCUAGAUGUAGGGGUGAAAUCCGUUGAUAUCUAGGGGAACACCGAAAGCGAAGGCAAUUCACUGGCGCGUUUCUGACACUCAAGCACGAAAGCGUGGGUAGCAACG
Molecule: ribosomal RNA, 206 nt
Filed under: uncultured bacterium
Lineage: Bacteria
Description: partial 16S ribosomal RNA
Rfam family: Bacterial small subunit ribosomal RNA
Source: RNAcentral